Molecule: transfer-messenger RNA, 137 nt
Filed under: Bacillota bacterium
Lineage: Bacteria; Bacillati; Bacillota
Description: partial transfer-messenger RNA
Rfam family: transfer-messenger RNA
About the family: Bacterial tmRNA, also known as 10Sa RNA or SsrA, is named for its dual tRNA and mRNA-like properties. Its role is to liberate the mRNA from a stalled ribosome. To accomplish this part of the tmRNA is used as a reading frame that ends in a translation stop signal.
Source: RNAcentral
GGGGGUGUAAAGGUUUCGACGGGGGUGUAGAAGCCGGAUAAGCGAGCGGUAGUUUGUCCAGUCUACCUUAAAAAGGACACGUUAAAUAUAAACGCUAAAAAGAACAACAAUUUCGCAUUAGCAGCUUAGUUCUGCAC